Molecule: small nuclear RNA, 23 nt
Filed under: Arabidopsis thaliana (thale cress)
Lineage: Eukaryota; Viridiplantae; Streptophyta; Magnoliopsida; Brassicales; Brassicaceae
Description: snRNA_12332
Source: RNAcentral
GACAAAAAAAUGACAGAGCUUUA